This 253-nucleotide ribosomal RNA is filed under the name uncultured bacterium. RNAcentral's name for it is "partial 16S ribosomal RNA". It matches the Rfam family "Bacterial small subunit ribosomal RNA", at positions 524 to 776 of the family's 1533-position model. The record is from RNAcentral.
UACGGAGGGUGCGAGCGUUAAUCGGAAUUACUGGGCGUAAAGCGCACGUAGGCGGUCGUGUAAGUCGGAUGUGAAAGCCCUGGGCUUAACCUGGGAACUGCAUUCGAAACUGCACGGCUAGAGUAUGGGAGAGGGAAGCAGAAUUUCCGGUGUAGCGGUGAAAUGCGUAGAUAUCGGAAGGAAUACCAAUGGCGAAGGCAGCUUCCUGGCCCAAUACUGACGCUCAGGUGCGAAAGCGUGGGGAUCAAACAGG